RNAcentral lists this long non-coding RNA (569 nucleotides) under Sus scrofa (pig). RNAcentral's name for it is "lncRNA (ENSSSCG00050072960.1)". Lineage: Eukaryota; Metazoa; Chordata; Mammalia; Artiodactyla; Suidae. The record is from RNAcentral.
GCACUGAGAAGGGAAGUAACUUGCUCAAGCUCACACAGCUUGAAGUGGAGUCAGAAUUCUAAUGUGGGUCAUCUGGCUCCGGAGCUCAUGUUGUAAACUGCAGUGCUUGCCUGCCUCUCUCAGGACACCAGAAGUCCCACUCUUGAUGAGCCUGGCUGAUGGGUCCCGGAUCUUCACUGGAACUUCCCAGGCACCACCACAACCAUUUCGGGCUAGAAGGGGAACGUCCCAAGACUUAGCCGUACUUGAUACAACUGUCCCCACUGUUGUCACUGGCAACUGGAUCAGCCUCUUCCUGCUGAUGGAGCGUCAUUAUCUGGCCCUGCUGCCAUGGAGACCCAAAGGAAUCAGGUGAAGAGGACCCCGGAAGUCAAGUUUUUGAUUUGGAAGGAUGGGGUAUUCUUAAUUAAUGGCCCUACAUUUUCACGGGACUCAUCAUCUGAAAAAGAAAGUAAGUGGAAAAUCAUGGCCCCAUUUCUCAGGCCUGAAAAAUGUGUAGUGACAAGAGGACAAGAGAUGAAGGUUUUUAAAGCAAUAAAUGUCAUUUUGUUUCUCUUCUGAAUUUGUUG